AGUGAACGCUGGCGGUAGGCCUAACACAUGCAAGUCGAACGGCAGCACAGUAAGAGCUUGCUCUUACGGGUGGCGAGUGGCGGACGGGUGAGGAAUACAUCGGAAUCUACUUUUUCAUGGGGGCUAACGUAGGGAAACUUACGCUAAUACCGCAUACGACCUACGGGUGAAAGCAGGGGAUCUUCGGACCUUGCGCGAUUGAAUGAGCCGAUGUCGGAUUAGCUAGUUGGCGGGGUAAAGGCCCACCAAGGCGACGAUCCGUAGCUGGUCUGAGAGGAUGAUCAGCCACACUGGAACUGAGACACGGUCCAGACUCCUACGGGAGGCAGCAGUGGGGAAUAUUGGACAAUGGGCGCAAGCCUGAUCCAGCCAUACCGCGUGGGUGAAGAAGGCCUUCGGGUUGUAAAGCCCUUUUGUUGGGAAAGAAAAGCAGCAGGUUAAUACCCCGCUGUUCUGACGGUACCCAAAGAAUAAGCACCGGCUAACUUCGUG
RNAcentral lists this ribosomal RNA (492 nucleotides) under uncultured bacterium. RNAcentral describes it as "partial 16S ribosomal RNA". It matches the Rfam family "Bacterial small subunit ribosomal RNA", at positions 29 to 507 of the family's 1533-position model. The record is from RNAcentral.